Orcinus orca (killer whale) is the source of this 7153-nucleotide long non-coding RNA. RefSeq lists it as uncharacterized. The transcript has 5 exons. NCBI's taxonomy places the organism in Eukaryota, Metazoa, Chordata, Mammalia, Artiodactyla, Delphinidae. The record is from RefSeq and is a predicted model, not a curated record.
GGCCCUUUCUACAGCGGGGGCGGGGCGCGCCGGGCCAGCCCCGCCUCUCGCCUGAUACCCGGGCGGAGGGAGGGCGCAGUAGCAGGGCAGGGCAGGGCAGAGGAGGGACAGAACAGCCGCACCCAGCCAUCGCCGAGUGCAGAGCAGGCCAGCUUGGGGGGAGGGCCAGGCACAGUGCGGGUAAAGAAGGUGCCGGCGUCCGGUCCCGCAAGAGGGCGGGCUGGAGUGCGGGGGGAUGGGUGCGCCUUGCUCACGCUCCCAGGGUGGGAUGACCGAAGUGCUGGCGCCCAGGUUGUAAAGUGAGGCCCCCAACCCCGCAUCUAUGCUGGCAGUGGCCCGGAAACUACCGAUCCGGUUUAUUAAUAGCCGUCGGGGAAGAGGGACCCGCAGCAGCAGCAACUCCAUCCCAAGACUCUUACACUUUGCCAGGGAUGAAGAGCGACCCACAAUCGGAUCUGCACAUUUUUCCAAGAGAUCAGAUGUGACAAUGCGGUGAAGCAGCCAAAUUCCUGACUUUUGUCCAAGUCCCGCUACUCAGAGAUCCCAGGCCCCAGGCCCUGUGGCCUUUUGGCUGCCAAAGGGCCAGGACAGAGUGACAGUAGCAAACCAUCUUCCUAAUUGUCUUUUGAAUGAAACUGUGACUUGUUGUGACAAGGGCUGGACAGGAGUCAGUGACUUAUGGAGACAGAGCUCAGCCUGGGGAGCCCCCUUCCCAGGGCUUAUUAGCUCUGCUAGGUCAUAGCCCUUGUUUUCUUAUCUAGAAAAACUGGAAUCAUGUUACCUGCUCAACCUAUCAGGGGCUUUGGGAGAAUCAAUGGAAAGGAAAAUAUAGAGCCAAAAAAGCAUUAUAUAAAUUUCAAGCAUUAAAAUAAUCUCACCCCCCUCUUUACACACGUGGAGACUUGCAAACUUUUCCAGCCCCAGUUUCCUUAUCAAUAAAAUGGAGCUUAUCCCAUGGGCUGUGCCAGAUUUGUGAAUAAGAUAAUAGAUGUACAAAUUAUUAUGUAAAUACAAAGUACUUUACAAAGAUGAAAUUGUACUUUAUGUAGGAUCUUAUAGUCUAAAGGUGUUUAUGUGAAGAGUCAGAAACCUUGAAAUGUGGAAAUGGUCUAUGAUGAUCCACAGACCCUCCCCCCAUUGCUUCAGCAACCGGCAAGUACAAAAUAGUCCAGCUUGAUUUUAAGCCCUAUGUGCCAUGACAUACAAAAAACAUUGCAAGAAGUAAUCUCGAAAAAAAACACACACACAUCCAGUUUCCAACAACUGAUUCUCUAUAAAUUAAAACGUAUUUUGUCUCCCAUGGCAGACCCUCUGGAUAUUUUAAGUCCGUAUACCUCUGAUGAAAACUUGGUAUUCAAAUCUGAGUUACAAAAUGCCGGGAUCCUGCCUCUUUUCUUCCCAGUUUCAGCAAAGUGUGAUAAUGACUCGCAGAAAACGGAAAUUCAAGUGAUCUAGCAAAGGGAUCCCAGCAAAAAAAGCCCAGCUUGGGAGAAAGCCCCUAAUGCCUUCUUUUUGGCCUCCACUCCUCCCCGGUCUGUUUCCUUCCUUCUUCUGGUGUCGAGGUCACUCUCCAUCCCCCAGCUUCUUGACUCCUGUUCUUUCACAUUUCUUAAACACUAUAAGAAAAAGAUGGCUCAUGCACCUGCUUGCAAAACUUCCCAAACCGGGCCUUCUCGGCUCCCGCAGGGCCGGAAGAACAACUCACGCCCACCCGGGUAACUCCUGAACGGAAAGGUCCGGAGCCAGAGCUCCAGGCCCUUGGAAUCACCCCACCACCGCCCCCCCGGCUUCAGCCAAUCAAGGAAUAUUAUGCAAAUAAGCCUUCGUGCCCCAGCCAGUCAGGAGCCACGGCCCCCUCCCCCCAGCGUCCUCUUUCACCCCAGCCGAGCCGAAGUGGCGGCGGCGUCUCUGGCAACCGGAGCGCCGCCAAUUUUCCCCUCCAAUUGCGCCUGGAAAAAAAAAAUUGGUUCCUUGGGGUCACCUGGGAGGGGAGCGGGCGGGUCUGGCCCGGCCGGAGGCGAAGAGCCUCUGCGGUUGCCCUAGGCGUUUUCCCAGUUACAAUCCGGAACAGGCUGGAGAUGCUGAGCAACCUGCCCAGGCCUCAUUUUGCCUCUGGAAAACAGAAGUCGUCUGGUAAAUUUUGCCGCAAACACACAAACAAAAGGAACACUGUGAUGAAUAUGAAAGGAAGUAUGCUGCGGUAGCCUGAAGCUUUAAAUCAGGCCUAUCGCAUAUUAGUCUCUGGAUAUACUGUCGGUGUGGCUGAGGAAGCCAAAGCCACCGUGACGUCUGUCACUACUGAUCACAGCCAGGACGAGGCCCAUUCUUCUAGAGACAAUAAACACUAAACACAUUUUGGAAAAUAAAUGAAAGAAAUAUUCAUAUUACUAUCAUUAUUUAAUACUAAUAUUAUAUUUAUUUAACCAUUUAGGUUCUAAGUUCUAUAAAAAGCAAAACACUAUCAACACCCUAUCACUAUAGAUAGUAUCCCUGCCCAUAGGACAUUUUCUAUUCUGUUUAGAUAAGGCAGACGGAUGUAUUAGAACUGUAUCUCACACAUUCAAUCAGUAGGCCAUAAUGAUUCAUAAAUAGAGAGUUCACUGAAAAUUAGGACCUCCCAGCCUCUGAAAACGCCUUUGGAGUUCCAAGGAUUUGCAAGUAUGCAUCUAAGAGAGUAUUUUGGACUGGACAUACGACUGAAUGCUAGAAAAUGUGGGUUACCUUUCAGAAAAGGAAUUUCCACCACGCCCUGUCCGAUAAAUGAACCUAGACUGAACGUGGCUUUGGGGAGAGACAAGGGGUGAGUUUCACUCCAUCCAACAUUUUCCCUCAGUCACUGACAGAUUCUGAGAUAAGUCACAUCCUGAAUAUGGUUAGCGCUGUUGUGUCGCUGCUUUCUCCAGGGAAGGCAAGGACCAGUGCAUCCACUGAGCACUCAGCAGAUCAUGGGAAGGAAGCAUCUGUUACAGAGAUGCGCCCAGUGAGAUGGUUUGGAGCCUCUCUUCUUAACCCUAGAUCACCCUCUCAUUAAGGGCUGGUGCUUGCCUGAUCUCCGGCUCAUCGAUUUGAGAGUCAUUUUGUACUGCGGCUGCAAGGGGAAAAUAGACAUGUUCGAAGUUAUUCACUUCAUUAUCCUGCGUCUCAGCCGUUUCACCUAAAAAGCUAAAAGAAUCAGAGGAAGAAUACUUAGCCCAAAGUGGCUGUAAAAAAGUAGUGAACACAAAUAUUUUAAAAAAUACUUUUAAGUAAAUAAUCAUAAAAAUAAUCAUUUACAUCUACAGAAAAAUGUAUACUAGGUCAUGCUUUGUAAAUCACUUUGUAUACAUUACACAGGACGUUAAAAUCUCCAAGCCAACCUACAUAGUGUACAAUACUUUAUAAGUAAUAAAUAACUAAUACCAAGAGCAGAGUAGCUUAAAAAUUAACUCGAUAGCUGACAUUAUUUUAAAUGAAUAGAAAAUCAUUCUUUUAGCAAUUUAACAUUGGCACCAAUACCCCAGAAAGACAGACGAUUUGACCUUAGCUUUAAAGUUGUCUUCAUUGUUAAUUUCCAUAAAAACCUUAACAUUUGUCUAAUUAUAGGGUUCUGCAUUCAUUGAUCUCACUAAUUCAACUGUUUUAUCUGACUGCCUCUCCUGAAUUGAUAAAUCUAAAUUGCACAUUUUCUAAACUGCUAAGCUCAGGAGAAAUCUUGAAGGUGGCCCAAAUGGCUGUUGGAUCUUUUGCACCCGUCUAGCACCAUCUACUGUAACUUUGUAAUAUUGGACUUAUCGUUCUUUUCUCAAAACCGUGAUGUUCAGAUUCCUUUACUCUGUCCUGGCAAUACACAGUCCACCAAAGUUGUAUAUUCAUAGUUAAACUGAAAACCAAGCAAUUUGGUGGCAAAACAUAUAAUAAGGAAUGUUUUGCCAUUAAAAUGAGUUUUAUUCAUCCAAUUGCCUUUUAUUAUCAAGGAAAGUCAAUAUUGUAUAAUCAUAAUUUUUUUAUAGCAAGGAAUUUAAAUUUCAUGGCACUGUUCAGUUUUAUCAUCAAGGAAUAGGUUUCUCAGAUCUGGGUUAUCUUUAAGUCUGUUGCGCCAUAAGCUAUAUUUCCACUAGAAAUCUUUCUAAAAGGAGUGAGUAGUUAUCUAUGAAAGAAACUGUGGAGCCCUGGCAAUUGCUUUGUCCUGGGAGAAUGUGUUCACAUGAUUCACACAACUUACUGUUUUAUCAUUUAUCUACCUCCCUGGAAAUAGCAGGACAUAAAGAGAAUGAAAUCAAUAUUCUUUUCUACUUACCUAGCACAAGUGGAUACUUACUUGGGGUCAAUAGUCCUUUUUGAGAGUUUUACAUAAUGUUCAAAAAUACCUCUACUCCAGGUAGGGAAAGGCUGGAGGAUGGAACGAUGGGAGAAAAUGUAGAGUGAGCCGUAUUUAUUACCAAGGUCCUGGCUUUCGUUUGGGGCUGUGGAUUUGCAGGUGAUCAUUACAUUUUUCAAACUAACCAAAUAAACAGUAAAAAAAAAAAAAAAAACUAAUUGAAAUAGACCAGGAAUGGACCAGUAAUAGAGUCCAUUGUGGACCAAGGAUUAUGAUAAAUACAAUUUCUUGCUCCCACAAUCCAAAGUGAAAGGAAAAUAUUCCUACUUUGGUUUGAAUAUUAGAAACCAAAGACCUUCUGCCUAGUGAGUUUUUGACAAGUGAGGCAACAUCCCGAGUCAGAUCCUCAAGACUAGUUAGGAUUUUCCUAACUAGUUUCUUGAUCUUUAAAGGAGUUUCCUUGUCACUAGUCUCUGUGUAGUCCACUCCUUCUUUAGGUGUUGUUGUGAUGCUGCCAACAUUAGGAGAUGGUGUGUACAUCAAGACACAGGUACAAGAAGGUUCCUAGCAGCGCUAUUCAUGAUGGCCACCAACUAGAAACAAUCCAGAUAGCCAUCAACAAUAGGAUGGAAAAAUGUGAUAUAUUUACACUCAGACAUACUCUAGAGCAAUGAAAAUGAAUGAACACAGCAACGUGGGCGAGUCUCACAAAUACAACACAAUGUAAGAAGCCAGACACACGAAAGAAUAUAUACGAAAUUAUAGCAUUUAUAUAAAGUUCUCAAAACAAGCAAAAUUAAACUAUGUUUAAGGAGUGCAUGCCUAGGUAGUAAAAUUAUUUUAAAAAGCAAUGGUGUCAUUACCAUAACAGUCAGGUUAGUGGUUACCCUUAAGGGAGUGAUAGAGUGACUAGGAGGACACAUGAGGAGAGGCCUCUGAGGCACUGGUAACAUUCUGCUUCCUGGGUGCUGGUUUGUUAGGUGUUUGCCUUAUAAUAAUUCCCUUAGCUAUACUUAUGAUUUAUACACUUCUCUGAAUUUGUUGUAUUUCACAGUUACAAAAAGAGUUUAAAGACAAAUAAUGAAAAUCCUGCUGUGUAUCUCCAUGGCCCACCCAUUUCCUCAUCUUAUUAAUUAGAGCUCCUCAUAUCUGCUCCCAGCUCCUGGCCUUGUCUGGUCCCCUCUUUUCCUCAUCGUGUAAUUCAUGUUCUGACCAUAUUUUUUUUUAAAUAAAUUUAUUUAUUUAUUUUUGGUUGUGUUGGGUCAUCAUUGCUGCACGCGGGCUUUUCUCUAGUUGCGGUGAGCGGGGGCUACCCUUCGUUGUGGUGCGCAGGCUUCUCACUGCGGUGGCUUCUCUUGUUGCGGAGCACGGGCUAUAGGCACGCGGGCUUCAGUAGUUGUGGCACGUGGGCUCAGUAGUUGUGGCUCGCGGGCUCUAGAGUGCAGGCUCAGUAGUUGUGGUGCAUGGGCUUAGUUGCUCCACGGCAGGUGGGAUCUUCGCGGACUAGGGCUCGAACCCAUGUCCCCUGCAUUGGCAGGCGGAUUCUCAACCACUGCGCCACCAGGGAAGCCCAUGUUCUGACCAUAUUAUGCUCUUCCGUGACUUUGUACUUUUUCCACCUCUAUGCCUAAAUGCACCUCUUUUCCCAACCCCAUUCCCACCCAUUGAAUUCAAACCCAUCUUUCAAGGCAUAGCCAAACCAAGACUUCCUUUAGGAAAGAAUCCCUGAACUCCUUGGUCAAAGUAGUAUCUUCUGCCUCUGAAUUCUCAUUUCCAUUUGAGCCUCUCUUACAGCAACUACUAUAUUCUUCUUGGCUUGUUAGGGUGUGUGUGUGUGUGUGUGUGUGUGUGUGUGUGUGUGUGUGUCUGUGUCCUCUUUGUUCAUAAGCAAAACAGUUUUGAGGACAGUAGGUGCUCAAUAAAUGUAAAAUAAAUUCAUUCUUCAAUAGAUGAGUGAGAAUGAUUAUCUGUUUAGCCGCUUGGAACCUAAAAUACCUUUGCAGAAGCUUGUCUAAGGAAAAGGGGUCAUUGUUUGUUAUGGGCGCCCUGAAGAAUAACUCAAGCCCUACAGUAGAGUUUAUGAGAGUUGGGUUGCACCACUCUGGGAACUGGCCUGCAGCCCCCAACUAGGUUACACAGGUCAUUCUGUGCUGUUGGCCCUGGGGUAAGUGACCCGAAUCAGUUUUGUGGAACAUAUCUGGAAGGCUUGAGAAGCCCCUGGAUAAUUCCUAAUGCAUAUAUCAAGACACCCUGUCUGCACGUGAGUGAACAUUUAGGGAGAUCACACAUAGAGCCAUGACUUUGUGAGCACGUGUAUAAGCGUGUGUACUGGGGUGGGCGUGUGUAAUCACUUUGGUGGAAUUCAGCAUACCUCACCCCUUCCUCCUCUCCCCAAAGUCUGUGGAUCAGUCUGAGGAGAAAAUGAAAGUGGGCAACAGAGGAGACUCUUAAGGCCACUAACAAAGCAGUUGAUGCCAUCCCUGGAUAGCUGUUUGUAUGUAUAGGAAAUUCAUAAGCUAGGCAUUUCUGAGUCAAGAAAUACCUACAUUAUGAGUAUGUAUGUUUAUGUGUAUGUGUUGUGGCCUAUAUUUGAGAAACUGUGCACUAGCAAAUCAGCAUCUCUAGUUUGGUUGCUUCAGAGAAUCAUGCAAAAAUAACUCGAGUGUCACCAGAUUUUGAAGGUGGGCUUGUAGUAAUACAAAUGUUGACUUUGGUAGAACUUAAAGCUAAACAGAAAAAACCAAAACGAUGAACCAUUUAGAGAAGAUUCUGGAGGACUUUCCUUGGGUGACUUUGAAAGGCACAGAAAGUAUCUUUGGAUGAUAAAUCCUGUUAAUCUGUUUAGUUCCAGUCAGA